GGGGAGUACGAACGCAAGUUUGAAACUCGAAGGAAUUGACGGGGGCCCGCACAAGCGGUGGAGCAUGUGGUUUAAUUCGAUGAUACGCGAGGAACCUUACCAAGGCUUAAAUGUAGAUUGACCGGUUUGGAAACAGAUCUUUCGCAAGACAAUUUACAAGGUGCUGCAUGGUUGUCGUCAGCUCGUGCCGUGAGGUGUCAGGUUAAGUCCUAUAACGAGCGCAACCCCUGUCGUUAGUUGCCAGCGAGUCAUGUCGGGAACUCUAACGAGACUGCCAGUGUAAACUGUGAGGAAGGUGGGGAUGACGUCAGUGACCUUUGC
Molecule: unclassified non-coding RNA, 321 nt
Filed under: uncultured Flavobacteriaceae bacterium
Lineage: Bacteria; Pseudomonadati; Bacteroidota; Flavobacteriia; Flavobacteriales; Flavobacteriaceae
Description: contains 16S-23S intergenic spacer region
Rfam family: Bacterial small subunit ribosomal RNA
Source: RNAcentral